This 418-nucleotide ribosomal RNA is filed under the name uncultured microorganism. RNAcentral's name for it is "bacterial SSU rRNA". It matches the Rfam family "Bacterial small subunit ribosomal RNA", at positions 9 to 425 of the family's 1533-position model. The record is from RNAcentral.
GAGUUUGAUCCUGGCUCAGAUUGAACGCUGGCGGCAUGCCUUACACAUGCAAGUCGAACGGCAGCAUGAUCUAGCUUGCUAGAUUGAUGGCGAGUGGCGAACGGGCGAGUAAUACAUCGGAACGUGCCCUGUAGUGGGGGAUAACUAGUCGAAAGAUUAGCUAAUACCGCAUACGACCUGAGGGUGAAAGUGGGGGACCGCAAGGCCUCAUGCUAUAGGAGCGGCCGAUGUCUGAUUAGCUAGUUGGUGGGGUAAAGGCCCACCAAGGCGACGAUCAGUAGCUGGUCUGAGAGGACGAUCAGCCACACUGGGACUGAGACACGGCCCAGACUCCUACGGGAGGCAGCAGUGGGGAAUUUUGGACAAUGGGCGAAAGCCUGAUCCAGCAAUGCCGCGUGUGUGAAGAAGGCCUCGGUUG